Molecule: transfer RNA, 77 nt
Filed under: Mesorhizobium sp.
Lineage: Bacteria; Pseudomonadati; Pseudomonadota; Alphaproteobacteria; Hyphomicrobiales; Phyllobacteriaceae
Description: tRNA-Met
Rfam family: tRNA
About the family: Transfer RNA (tRNA) molecules are approximately 80 nucleotides in length. Their secondary structure includes four short double-helical elements and three loops (D, anti-codon, and T loops).
Source: RNAcentral
AGCGCUGUAGAGAAGCGGCCUAUCUCGCUUGGCUCAUAACCAAGAGAACGUCGGUUCAAAUCCGAAGAGCGCAACCA